Molecule: ribosomal RNA, 600 nt
Filed under: uncultured bacterium
Lineage: Bacteria
Description: bacterial SSU rRNA
Rfam family: Bacterial small subunit ribosomal RNA
Source: RNAcentral
UCUCUGAUUCAGCGGCGGACGGGUGAGUAAUGCCUAGGAAUCUGCCUGAUAGUGGGGGACAACGUUUCGAAAGGAACGCUAAUACCGCAUACGUCCUACGGGAGAAAGCAGGGGACCUUCGGGCCUUGCGCUAUCAGAUGAGCCUAGGUCGGAUUAGCUAGUUGGUGAGGUAACGGCUCACCAAGGCGACGAUCCGUAACUGGUCUGAGAGGAUGAUCAGUCACACUGGAACUGAGACACGGUCCAGACUCCUACGGGAGGCAGCAGUGGGGAAUAUUGGACAAUGGGCGAAAGCCUGAUCCAGCCAUGCCGCGUGUGUGAAGAAGGUCUUCGGAUUGUAAAGCACUUUAAGUUGGGAGGAAGGGCAUUAACCUAAUACGUUAGUGUUUUGACGUUACCGACAGAAUAAGCACCGGCUAACUUCGUGCCAGCAGCCGCGGUAAUACGAAGGGUGCAAGCGUUAAUCGGAAUUACUGGGCGUAAAGCGCGCGUAGGUGGUUUGUUAAGUUGAAUGUGAAAGCCUCGGGCUCAACCUGGGAACUGCAUCCAAAACUGGCAAGCUAGAGUAUGGCAGAGGGUGGUGGAAUUUCCUGUGUAGCG